AACGAACGCUGGCGGCGCGCCUAAUACAUGCAAGUCGAGCGAGAAGACGUAGCAAUACGUUUGUAAAGCGGCGAACGGGUGAGGAAUACAUGGGUAACCUACCCUCGAGUGGGGAAUAACUAGCCGAAAGGUUAGCUAAUACCGCGUACGCUCCUUGGACUUCGGUUCAGGGAGGAAAGCGAUACCGUGGGUAUCGCGCUCUUGGAUGGGCUCAUGUCCUAUCAGCUUGUUGGUGAGGUAACGGCUCACCAAGGCUUCGACGGGUAGCUGGUCUGAGAGGACGAUCAGCCACACUGGGACUGAGACACGGCCCAGACUCCUACGGGAGGCAGCAGUGGGGAAUCUUGCGCAAUGAGCGAAAGCUUGACGCAGCGACGCCGCGUGAGGGAAGAAGGCU
Molecule: ribosomal RNA, 397 nt
Filed under: uncultured bacterium
Lineage: Bacteria
Description: bacterial SSU rRNA
Rfam family: Bacterial small subunit ribosomal RNA
Source: RNAcentral